Molecule: ribosomal RNA, 525 nt
Filed under: uncultured bacterium
Lineage: Bacteria
Description: bacterial SSU rRNA
Rfam family: Bacterial small subunit ribosomal RNA
Source: RNAcentral
AAUAGAUACCCUGGUAGUCCACGCCGUAAACGAUGAGUGCUAAGUGUUAGGGGGUUUCCGCCCCUUAGUGCUGCAGCUAACGCAUUAAGCACUCCGCCUGGGGAGUACGGUCGCAAGACUGAAACUCAAAGGAAUUGACGGGGGCCCGCACAAGCGGUGGAGCAUGUGGUUUAAUUCGAAGCAACGCGAAGAACCUUACCAGGUCUUGACAUCCUCUGACAAUCCUAGAGAUAGGACGUCCCCCUUCGGGGGCAGAGUGACAGGUGGUGCAUGGUUGUCGUCAGCUCGUGUCGUGAGAUGUUGGGUUAAGUCCCGCAACGAGCGCAACCCUUGAUCUUAGUUGCCAGCAUUCAGUUGGGCACUCUAAGGUGACUGCCGGUGACAAACCGGAGGAAGGUGGGGAUGACGUCAAAUCAUCAUGCCCCUUAUGACCUGGGCUACACACGUGCUACAAUGGACAGAACAAAGGGCAGCGAAACCGCGAGGUUAAGCCAAUCCCACAAAUCUGUUCUCAGUUCGGAUCGC